CCUACGGGUGGCAUCAGUGGGGAAUAUUGGACAAUGGGGGGAACCCUGAUCCAGCCAUGCCGCGUGUGUGAAGAAGGCCCUCGGGUUGUAAAGCACUUUCAGUGAGGAAGAACGCCUGGUGGUUAAUACCCAUCAGGAAAGACAUCACUCACAGAAGAAGCACCGGCUAACUCCGUGCCAGCAGCCGCGGUAAUACGGAGGGUGCGAGCGUUAAUCGGAAUUACUGGGCGUAAAGCGCGCGUAGGUGGCUUGAUAAGCCGGUUGUGAAAGCCCCGGGCUCAACCUGGGUACGGCAUCCGGAACUGUCAAGCUAGAGUGCAGGAGAGGAAGGUAGAAUUCCCGGUGUAGCGGUGAAAUGCGUAGAGAUCGGGAGGAAUACCAGUGGCGAAGGCGGCCUUCUGGACUGACACUGACACUGAGGUGCGAAAGCGUGGGUAGCAAACAGGAUUAGAUACCCGAGUAGUC
Molecule: ribosomal RNA, 465 nt
Filed under: Vreelandella stevensii
Lineage: Bacteria; Pseudomonadati; Pseudomonadota; Gammaproteobacteria; Oceanospirillales; Halomonadaceae
Description: partial 16S ribosomal RNA
Rfam family: Bacterial small subunit ribosomal RNA
Source: RNAcentral